This 107-nucleotide small RNA is filed under the name Marmota monax (woodchuck). Lineage: Eukaryota; Metazoa; Chordata; Mammalia; Rodentia; Sciuridae. The record is from RNAcentral.
GCCAGGUGUGGUGGUGCAUGCUUGUAAUCCCAGUGGCUCAGAAGGCUGAGGCAGGAGGAUCACAAGUUUGAGGCCAGCCUCAGCAACUUAGUGAGACCCUGUCUUAA